UGAGAAGGAACAGAACAAGCACGCUAUAGUGGUGGCAGCAGCCACAGCUGCUGCAGCUGAUGCGGCAGUUGCUGCAGCCCAGGCAGCGGUGGCGGUGGUGAGGCUAACUAGCCAUGGCAGAGGUACCAUGUUUGGUGGUGGACGGGAGAGGUGGGCUGCUGUCAAGAUUCAAACUGUUUUCAGGGGUUAUUUGGCCAGAAAGGCAUUGCGAGCAUUAAAAGGAUUGGUGA
RNAcentral lists this unclassified non-coding RNA (230 nucleotides) under Hevea brasiliensis (rubber tree). The record is from RNAcentral. Lineage: Eukaryota; Viridiplantae; Streptophyta; Magnoliopsida; Malpighiales; Euphorbiaceae.